GUUGCGGUAGGUCAGGUUUUUAAUCCAAAUAUUAAACCUUUUUCAUCGGUAUUUUUUAAUUUUCGGAUUUUGUGUGCCUUUAACGUGUUUGAGAACUAUGUAAAGUCGAUUUAUUGGUGUGGUAUAUGGUUUGAAACACCUCAAAUAGUUUAGCAUCAAGAAUAUUUAGUGGUUCCCAACUGUAGAAUUACAUUUUCGGGCAAAAAUGGCAGAAAAGCAUAUCAUAAAGUUCAGUUUUAUAACAAU
Dendroctonus ponderosae (mountain pine beetle) is the source of this 246-nucleotide long non-coding RNA. RefSeq lists it as uncharacterized. Lineage: Eukaryota; Metazoa; Arthropoda; Insecta; Coleoptera; Curculionidae. The record is from RefSeq and is a predicted model, not a curated record. The transcript is spliced from 3 exons.